Molecule: ribosomal RNA, 326 nt
Filed under: uncultured bacterium
Lineage: Bacteria
Description: bacterial SSU rRNA
Rfam family: Bacterial small subunit ribosomal RNA
Source: RNAcentral
GACGAACGCUGGCGGCGCGCCUAACACAUGCAAGUCGAACGGGGCUCUUUGGAUCGAGACUUCGGUCAAGUGGAUCUGAGCUUAGUGGCGGACGGGUGAGUAACGCGUGAGCAACCUGCCUAUCAGAGAGGAAUAACAGUGAGAAAUCAUUGCUAAUACCGCAUAUGCUGUGAGUAUCGCAUGAUACAAACAGGAAAGGAGCAAUCCGCUGAUAGAUGGGCUUGCGUCUGAUUAGAUAGUUGGUGGGGUAACGGCCUACCAAGUCGACGAUCAGUAGCCGGACUGAGAGGUUGAACGGCCACAUUGGGGACUGAGAUACGGCCCAG